Molecule: ribosomal RNA, 234 nt
Filed under: uncultured bacterium
Lineage: Bacteria
Description: partial 16S ribosomal RNA
Rfam family: Bacterial small subunit ribosomal RNA
Source: RNAcentral
GAUCAUGGCUCAGAUUGAACGCUGGCGGCAUGCCUUACACAUGCAAGUCGAACGGCAGCAUGGAGAGCUUGCUCUCUGAUGGCGAGUGGCGAACGGGGUGAGUAAUACAUCGGAACGUGUCCGUUUGUGGGGGACGAACUGUCCGAAAGGAUGGCUAAUACCGCAUAAGACCUGAGGGUGGAAAGGACCGGGGGACCGGCAAGGCCCGGGCGCAGACGGAGCGGCCGAUGAUUG